This 185-nucleotide ribosomal RNA is filed under the name uncultured Legionella sp. Its description in RNAcentral is "partial 16S ribosomal RNA". It matches the Rfam family "Bacterial small subunit ribosomal RNA", at positions 478 to 663 of the family's 1533-position model. The record is from RNAcentral. Lineage: Bacteria; Pseudomonadati; Pseudomonadota; Gammaproteobacteria; Legionellales; Legionellaceae.
GUCCACAUAAGAGCACCGGCUAACUCCGUGCCGCAGCCGCGGUAAUACGGAGGGUGCGAGCGUUAAUCGGAAUUACUGGGCGUAAAGGGUGCGUAGGUGGUUUGAUAAGUUAUCUGUGAAAUUCCUGGGCUUAACCUGGGACGGUCAGAUAAGACUGUUGGACUCGAGUAUGGGAGAGGGUAGUG